CCUACGGGUGGCAGCAGUGGGGAAUAUUGGACAAUGGGGGGAACCCUGAUCCAGCCAUGCCGCGUGUGUGAAGAAGGCCCUCGGGUUGUAAAGCACUUUCAGUGAGGAAGAACGCCUGGUGGUUAAUACCCAUCAGGAAAGACAUCACUCACAGAAGAAGCACCGGCUAACUCCGUGCCAGCAGCCGCGGUAAUACGGAGGGCGCGAGCGUUAAUCGGAAUUACUGGGCGUAAAGCGCGCGUAGGUGGCUUGAUAAGCCGGUUGUGAAAGCCCCGGGCUCAACCUGGGAACGGCAUCCGGAACUGUCAAGCUAGAGUGCAGGAGAGGAAGGUAGAAUUCCCGGUGUAGCGGUGAAAUGCGUAGAGAUCGGGAGGAAUACCAGUGGCGAAGGCGGCCUUCUGGACUGACACUGACACUGAGGUGCGAAAGCGUGGGUAGCAAACAGGAUUAGAUACCCUGGUAGUC
Molecule: ribosomal RNA, 465 nt
Filed under: Vreelandella stevensii
Lineage: Bacteria; Pseudomonadati; Pseudomonadota; Gammaproteobacteria; Oceanospirillales; Halomonadaceae
Description: partial 16S ribosomal RNA
Rfam family: Bacterial small subunit ribosomal RNA
Source: RNAcentral